AUUGAACGCUGGCGGCAGGCCUAACACAUGCAAGUCGAGCGGAUGAAGGGAGCUUGCUCCUGGAUUCAGCGGCGGACGGGUGAGUAAUGCCUAGGAAUCUGCCUGGUAGUGGGGGAUAACGUCCGGAAACGGGCGCUAAUACCGCAUACGUCCUGCGGGAGCAAGUGGGGGAUCUUCGGACCUCACGCUAUCAGAUGAGCCUAGGUCGGAUUAGCUAGUUGGUGGGGUAAAGGCCUACCAAGGCGACGAUCCGUAACUGGUCUGAGAGGAUGAUAGGUCACACGGGAACUGAGACACGGUCCAGACUACUGCGAGAGGCAGCAGUGGGGAAUAUUAGACAAUGGGCGAAAGCCUGAUACAGCCAUGCCGCGUGUGUGAAGAAGGUCUUCGGAUUGUAAAGCACUUUAAGUUGGGAGGAAGGGCAGUAAGUUGAUACCUUGCUGUUUUGACGUUACCAACAGAAUAAGCACCGGCUAACUUCGUG
This 484-nucleotide ribosomal RNA is filed under the name uncultured bacterium. RNAcentral's name for it is "partial 16S ribosomal RNA". It matches the Rfam family "Bacterial small subunit ribosomal RNA", at positions 30 to 507 of the family's 1533-position model. The record is from RNAcentral.